Molecule: ribosomal RNA, 373 nt
Filed under: uncultured organism
Description: partial 16S ribosomal RNA
Rfam family: Bacterial small subunit ribosomal RNA
Source: RNAcentral
AUAGGAUGCAAGCGUUGCUCGGAAUUACUGGGUGUAAAGAGCGUGUAGGUGGCUAGAUAAGUCAGUGGUGAAAGCCCUCGGCUCAACCGGGGAACUGCCAUUGAUACUGUCUAGCUUGAGUAUGGGAGAGGAAAGCGGAAUUCCUGGUGUAGCGGUGAAAUGCGUAGAUAUCAGGAGGAACACCGGUGGCGAAGGCGGCUUUCUGGACCAAUACUGACACUGAGACGCGAAAGCGUGGGGGGAGCAAACAGGAUUAGAUACCCUGGUAGUCCACGCCCCUAAACGAUGGGCACUAGGUGUGGGAACUUUUAGAGUUUCCGUGCCGAAGCUAACGCAUUAAGUGCCCCCGCCUGGAAGUACGAUCGCAAGGUUG